Syngnathus acus (greater pipefish) is the source of this 2098-nucleotide long non-coding RNA. RefSeq lists it as uncharacterized. The record is from RefSeq and is a predicted model, not a curated record. Lineage: Eukaryota; Metazoa; Chordata; Actinopteri; Syngnathiformes; Syngnathidae. The transcript is spliced from 2 exons.
UCGGCUUUCCGAGCCUAUCGGGUGGCUGCAAAAUGUCUACCGUUUCCGAUAAGCCCCUCCCCUUUCUCAUCUGUGAUUAUAUAGACUCCUGGACAAUGGCAACACUGAUGCGCACACACGCACGCUGCAGCUCGUGCUACGAGGCUGCAAUGAAGACGUGACGGACUGAGGGAUGGUGACGAAAUCGGGCACAUGCCGGCAAGUAUCGAGGGCAACAACAGGAACAAGAGUGACACAGACAGUCGUAGCGCUGUGAGCUCCGGCAGCGAUCAGUCACUAACGCACGCUGAGAGGAUCCCCCCGUUCCUGCAUCGUUCCCCAAGGACGCUGGCUCCAAGAUGGGCUGCUCCUCCGGACGCCAACCCCCUGCCUCGGUCCUUCACCCAGACCUGGACUGCAGCCACGGCAGCGAGGCAAACACCUUACCCCAGGACUCUGAAAACCAGAAUUUCAACAGCUCCGCAAGUGUGGAUGGAGCAGACGUCAAACCUCCGGAGUCUCACCCGACAUUGGAGCGGCUGGCUCAAGCGACGGGCGGCACUGAAAAGUCCUGGUAUCGCUGCGUGUUCCCUUUCGGGGUGAUCUCGCUGGUUAUCGGGAUGGCGGGCACGGGUGUGACGUUCACUUUCAACAAUCUGCUCCAGACCAAAGUGGUGUCAGUGGCGUUGCUUUGCAUCGGUGUCGUGAUGCUGCUGGUGGCUGCCGUUUGUUGGCGAGCCCACAGAUUGAGAAGGAGGAAAAAGAAGGAGGGGGGGUUCUUCACCACUGAUCUGGGUACUUUGUGAUGGACGAUGUCCGCCGUAUCCCUGACGGAACACUUUGAGCGAGACUGUCGGUGACAAGGACAGAUGAAUAACAACCGAUUUGGACCGAGUGUAGUUUAGCAGAAGGAUUACAUGACAUCACCAAUAUGCCAUCAAAUUUAUUGAUACCCUAACCCCAAAGUUGCCUCCUCACGUCAGGGGAACUGACGUAGAGAUAUGCAAGAGUUCUAAAUAAAUGCAGAUCCUCAACCUGAAACUUGACACAGCAAUGUUUACAAUUGUGUAGCAAGCUAAAUAAAAUAUGAAGGCAUGACAAGGUGAUAGAAAAUUGAUGGGACAAAAGCUUCUGUGAAAAAUUGUUCAAAUUGCGAAGAAAUGAUGCCUGUGUGGACAACUUCUAAAAGCAUCAAAAGUCAACACUCCCCCCCCCCCCUGCUGUUUGGGAUAACAACCAUCCACAAUUGUUUGGGAUCCAUAAAAAUCGCCACUAUGUGAACGAUGAAGCCUUGUGGGGGGGAAAUAGUAUUUGAAAUUGCUUUUCCUGCUGUAUGCUCUCUUGGUGGUGCCCCUUUCAUUGUAUGGUGAGCAAAUCCCAUUCCAGGCAUACCUCAGUGAACACAAAGCAAAAAAAAAACAAAAAAAAACAGCACGGACUGUUCCCUUGAUCCUCGCUAAAUCAAACGGACGCGACUCCCGCUGACAUACAUUCUCCUAACACGUGUUUUUUUUCUAGAUGACAUGACAAAUGAAUCCAUAGUUUAGCUAACGGUAGCAAAAAAAAACGCUAUAGCUAAUGCUAGCACCCAACGUCGAAGGCCGAGAAGACGUAAUAGUGGAGCCGACAUGUAGCAUGUAGGUCAGCCAGUGUACAGUAAAGCACAAUGUCGUGAUGAUGUGAUGAUAAUAAUGGCUUCUAGCAGCAGCAAGUGAUGUGCUUAGAAGACCUAGCGGCACCUACUUAGCUGUAGCAUCGUAUUUGAUCGUCAAUUGCUUCGAUUAAAUGUUAACUGGCUGUUUAAAAUGAAUUUUUGUUUCUUUGUGCCGUUAAAAUUCGAGAUAAGCCCAAAAAGGCAACAAAAUGAGUGUUUGUUCAAAUACGUGAUGUAAAAACAAAUAAAAAAACACACAUUUGAAUGUACAAUGAACAAUAAGUGUCUUAUUUGUACAGGUUGUAAAGAUGUAUCUUCUAUUUUGAAUAGUGGAGAAAAAAACAUUGUGUGUUUGUAUAUCGCGAUCAGUCUGCUUUUAUUUAUUUGUAUUCUUUUCAGUGAUGUGUUUUUGAGGCAAUUGUCAAACACCUGAAAUAAAAAUUCUCAUUGAAUUUAUUGACCUGA